UACAGAGACUGCAAGCGUUAUUCGGAUUCACUGGGCGUAAAGGGUGCGCAGGCGGCCAAGUGUGUGAGGCGUGAAAGCCCGAGGCUCAACCUCGGAAUUGCACCUCAAACUACAUGGCUAGAGCAUUGGAGAGGGUAGCAGAAUUCAUGGUGUAGCAGUGAAAUGCGUAGAUAUCAUGAGGAAUACCAGAGGCGAAGGCGGCUACCUGGACAAUUGCUGACGCUCAGGCACGAAAGCGUGGGGAGCAAAAGGGAUUAGAUACCCCUGUAGUCCACGCCCUAAACGGUGCAUACUAGGUCUUGGCGGAUUCGACCCCACCAGGGCCCAAGCUAACGCGAUAAGUAUGCCGCCUGAGGACUACGGCCGCAAGGCUA
Molecule: ribosomal RNA, 374 nt
Filed under: uncultured prokaryote
Description: bacterial SSU rRNA
Rfam family: Bacterial small subunit ribosomal RNA
Source: RNAcentral